This 70-nucleotide transfer RNA is filed under the name Podarcis lilfordi (Lilford's wall lizard). RNAcentral describes it as "tRNA.Ala". Lineage: Eukaryota; Metazoa; Chordata; Lepidosauria; Squamata; Lacertidae. The record is from RNAcentral.
GAUUGUAGCUCAGUGGUAGAACAUCUGUUUUGCAUGUAGAAGGUCCCAAGUUCCAUCCCCAGCAUCUCCA